CAUACCAUACGAGUUAAGGUAUGGUAAGAAGCCAGCUCUUAGGCAUCUCAAGAUUUGGAGAUGUCCAAUUAUUGGAAUUCAGGGUUUAGUGCAUGCAUAUGUGUUUUAAAAAUUUUAUUUUCUAAAUACGACAGCAAAGAAUAAGAUUAAAAUACUUUUAAUCUGAAUUAUACAUGCAUGAAAAUAUAAAACCACAUGGAUCGCCUUAAGGGUGCGGAAAUUGAUGCAUGCUGAAAUUCAGAUUGUGAUCAAAUCACAUACCUGUUUCACAAUCAUUUUCUUCAAAUCU
Molecule: long non-coding RNA, 289 nt
Filed under: Elaeis guineensis (African oil palm)
Lineage: Eukaryota; Viridiplantae; Streptophyta; Magnoliopsida; Arecales; Arecaceae
Description: long non-coding RNA (EGUI_LNC067708)
Source: RNAcentral